UUACAUUUACAACACAGCAAAAAUGAACACAAAUUAAAUAAAUAUAUUUCUAGAAAAAAAGUUUUAAAACUAGCAAUCUUCAAAUCUAAUCUAGCUCAUCUGGCAAGCUUAAGAAGUAUAAUAAAACAAGCCUAAUAUAAUGAAAGUAACAAUUAGACUGUGAUUUUAUUUUUUUCAAAAGGUCAAUUCCAAAAUUCCAAGGGAUGCUUAUCACAUAUUAGGACAGCUAGCAGAUAUAAACUUGAAUACUAAAUAGUUCAAUUUGCUUUUAAGUAAGCAUUAAAAACUGAAAAUAUAUUCAGCGUUGGUGUAGUGUGAAAGAAAAGGGUUAUACUGAUUUAUAGUGAUACUCAUUUAAUGUAUUUUAUGAAAUACAUACACAAUGCGAAGUUGUCUGAAAAAAAUCAAAAAGCAUAUGGGUCCUGAGCAUUUGGAUAUUUACAGAAUGUAAACUGAUAUUCCAUAAAAAAAGCCAUGGAUUAUAGUCACAAAUGCAAUUUUUAAAAAUUAAAUAUGUCAUUCCAUGUCUAAAUGCACCACUGUAAUAGUUAUAGCAUUCAUUUUUAUGAGGUCAAGAAGGAUGUACAUUUUUUCAUAAUUCAAAGUCAGUGAAUUUACCUUUUACUUUCCAUUUCUGCUUAAAAUAAGGGUAGCUGAAUAUUAUUAAGUACAUGACUGAAUUCAAAAAAUUUAGUUCAUCCUCAGUAUUUUUGGGAUACUCUAGUAUAAACUUUUUCAAAAGUAAGAAGCAUAUUAGAGAAAAAAAAAUCUAAGUUUCUGCCUUUAUUAAGUUUAUAUAUUUUCUCUUCCUUUCUUUUUACUGGGAAGUAAUUAUAAUGCUUAGAAAUAUAUUUCUCAGUAUUGUCAACUUUAUGAACCUAUUUGCUUAAAGAAAAUACACUCUAAGAAAUGUGACAAUUGAUGAAUGGUAGCAUCUCAUGUGUCUUGCUUUCUUUUUGUUUCUUUACACAAUGAUUGUUCAAAUGAAGGCUAUGGACAAACUGUACAUGAUUAUGAUAAUGCAUUCAUCAUGUGAAAAUUAGAAUGCAAUAUAUUUUUUUCUAAGCAAUGAUAUAAUUAUUAGCUAAAUCCUUCUUUAUUUGAAUUUUAAGAUUGUAAUGAUAGUGCUAACAUAAUCGUUUUCUUUAAUCAUCACUGGCUUAUUUAUUAAGCUAGCUUUUAGUUAGUAGCUUGAAAGCUAUGAUUCUCUUUCACCAUUUAUUUUAGUAACUGAAAAAACUUGGAAUUAAUUCUUUGAAGUAUCUUUGGAAAAAUGUCUUCUGAAAUGAAUGGCUCACCUCAUGCUCCAGGAAAUGUUCUAAAAUGGCAAUUGUCCAACAAUAACAAUAAUUAAAUCUUAGGCCAAAUUAACUUGGUUUAUUUGAAGAGACAGUGUGUGAAGGUUCCUUGGAGCUGGUCAAACCACUGAUAGGAAGAAGUGUUGAGUUAUGUCUCUGUGUCUGUUCCUGGUUGAUCUUCUUAAGGUAAGAUUAUGUUAGAUUUUCUAUUAGUAGGUUACAGUCAAUGACGAUAACUUACACUAACACAUCUAGAAGCAUCCUGUCAUAUGUGGCUAUUCAAAUCUGGUUUAUUUCUCAUGAUCUUGUUCACAGAUGUUCCCAACAAGUUAUCAUCUGAAAAAUCUGAGAUCACUGAAGAAUCAUGGUACUCUCUGAGCACUGACAGGAAUUCUAAAAUGAGUAAGAGUCAACCUCUCUUCUUAAAAAAAAUCAAGGAACACAAUAGUGAAACACCAGAACGGAGAUCUUAUCUGCACAUCCAGAUUGGGAAAGCUGGUAUGCUGGGGAGCACGAACAUGGGGUGUGUAUUUUUAUGAGGACCUGUGGCCACCUGGAAUAAAACAGUAAAGAGGGUUUUUGAAAUGAUGGAGAGACCUCAGUGUGCUGAGUGUAAGAUACUCGCCCAAGAAAGAGGAAAGGGGAAUUUUUCUUAGGUUGUGACCUGAUUUGACAGAAAACAUAUUCUGGGUUUUGGAAGAAAGAAGGAAUUUGUUCUCUGGUUAUUAUUAUUAUUUAGAUAUGAGAUGCUUUGGGGUUAUGCAAUUUUUUUCUGGACUACUUUUUUGCAAGAAGUGGGGCAUGCUCCAAAUUCCUUGAUUAUUAUUUAUGGGCCAGGGUUUAAAAAAAAAAAAAAAAAAAAAA
This is a long non-coding RNA of Cercocebus atys (sooty mangabey), 2162 nucleotides long. RefSeq lists it as uncharacterized. NCBI's taxonomy places the organism in Eukaryota, Metazoa, Chordata, Mammalia, Primates, Cercopithecidae. The transcript has 2 exons. The record is from RefSeq and is a predicted model, not a curated record.